GAGGAUGUAGCUCAGUGGUAGAGCACUUGCCUGACAUACACAAGGCCUUGGGUUCAAUCCCCAAUACCACA
This 71-nucleotide transfer RNA is filed under the name Ictidomys tridecemlineatus (thirteen-lined ground squirrel). Its description in RNAcentral is "Spermophilus tridecemlineatus (thirteen-lined ground squirrel) tRNA". It matches the Rfam family "tRNA". Rfam says of the family: Transfer RNA (tRNA) molecules are approximately 80 nucleotides in length. Their secondary structure includes four short double-helical elements and three loops (D, anti-codon, and T loops). The record is from Rfam by way of RNAcentral. Lineage: Eukaryota; Metazoa; Chordata; Mammalia; Rodentia; Sciuridae.